ACUUAAGUGUCUCAGAUGGUAAAGAACCUGCCUGCAAUGCAGGAGACCCAGGUUCGAUCCCUGGGUUGGGAA
RNAcentral lists this transfer RNA (72 nucleotides) under Ovis aries (sheep). It matches the Rfam family "tRNA". From Rfam's summary of the family: Transfer RNA (tRNA) molecules are approximately 80 nucleotides in length. Their secondary structure includes four short double-helical elements and three loops (D, anti-codon, and T loops). Further hydrogen bonds mediate the characteristic L-shaped molecular structure. tRNAs have two regions of fundamental functional importance: the anti-codon, which is responsible for specific mRNA codon recognition, and the 3' end, to which the tRNAs corresponding amino acid is attached (by aminoacyl-tRNA synthetases). tRNAs cope with the degeneracy of the genetic code in two manners: having more than one tRNA (with a specific anti-codon) for a particular amino acid; and 'wobble' base-pairing, i.e. permitting non-standard base-pairing at the 3rd anti-codon position. The record is from Rfam by way of RNAcentral. Lineage: Eukaryota; Metazoa; Chordata; Mammalia; Artiodactyla; Bovidae.